This 675-nucleotide ribosomal RNA is filed under the name Bacillus pumilus. Its description in RNAcentral is "bacterial SSU rRNA". It matches the Rfam family "Bacterial small subunit ribosomal RNA", at positions 557 to 1233 of the family's 1533-position model. The record is from RNAcentral. Lineage: Bacteria; Bacillati; Bacillota; Bacilli; Caryophanales; Bacillaceae.
GGCGUAAGGGCUCGCAGGCGGUUUCUUAAGUCUGAUGUGAAAGCCCCCGGCUCAACCGGGGAGGGUCAUUGGAAACUGGGAAACUUGAGUGCAGAAGAGGAGAGUGGAAUUCCACGUGUAGCGGUGAAAUGCGUAGAGAUGUGGAGGAACACCAGUGGCGAAGGCGACUCUCUGGUCUGUAACUGACGCUGAGGAGCGAAAGCGUGGGGAGCGAACAGGAUUAGAUACCCUGGUAGUCCACGCCGUAAACGAUGAGUGCUAAGUGUUAGGGGGUUUCCGCCCCUUAGUGCUGCAGCUAACGCAUUAAGCACUCCGCCUGGGGAGUACGGUCGCAAGACUGAAACUCAAAGGAAUUGACGGGGGCCCGCACAAGCGGUGGAGCAUGUGGUUUAAUUCGAAGCAACGCGAAGAACCUUACCAGGUCUUGACAUCCUCUGACAACCCUAGAGAUAGGGCUUUCCCUUCGGGGACAGAGUGACAGGUGGUGCAUGGUUGUCGUCAGCUCGUGUCGUGAGAUGUUGGGUUAAGUCCCGCAACGAGCGCAACCCUUGAUCUUAGUUGCCAGCAUUCAGUUGGGCACUCUAAGGUGACUGCCGGUGACAAACCGGAGGAAGGUGGGGAUGACGUCNAAUCAUCAUGCCCCUUAUGACCUGGGCUACACACGUGCUACAAUGG